CUUUCUCUGAAUUCCAGAUAUGUAGGAGUCUCUUCAGGAAGUAUGGACCUAGUUCAUGCACUUUGCUUUCACAGUGGCUUCCUGACAAACCUGUGUGUCCUGGCCCACAGCCUCUGGCCCAGACUUAGAGAGGGGCUCAAUCGAUUGGUAGAUGUACCCAAGAAAACUCACAGCAGGUCAGCUGGGGUUCCAUCUUCUGUUUCAUCCUCACUCCGGGACCCAGCCUGAGGGAACAGCAAUCCUCAGGGUCUUGCUGAUCGCCGUGGCAGAGGCACAUUGCAUGCUAGGGACCAAAAGCUUCUGUUCGGAAAUCACCCAUUUCGCUAGUUAUGACUGGCUCCUGUGCAAAUUCCUGUCCACCUAGAAUCUUAGACUAUGGCUUUCAUUUGGGAAUGGGUCUUUUGCAGUUGUAAAUGGUUAAGGGUUGUGAGGUGAUAGCGACCUUAGAGUGAACCUAAAACCAGGGAUUUGUGCCCUGAUGUGAGGAAGAGAGAG
Myodes glareolus (Bank vole) is the source of this 495-nucleotide non-coding RNA. The record is from RefSeq and is a predicted model, not a curated record. Lineage: Eukaryota; Metazoa; Chordata; Mammalia; Rodentia; Cricetidae.